AUACGGAGGGGGCAAGCGUUGUUCGGAAUUAUUGGGCGUAAAGGGCAUGUAGGCUGUUUAAUAAGUUAAAAGUGAAAUACCAGAGCUUAACUCUGGAGCUGCUUUUAAUACUGUUAGACUAGAGAUUGAGAGAGGAUAGUGGAAUUCCUAGUGUAGAGGUGAAAUUCGUAGAUAUUAGGAGGAACACCAGUGGCGAAGGCGGCUAUCUGGCUCAAUUCUGACGCUGAGGUGCGAAAGCGUGGG
This 243-nucleotide ribosomal RNA is filed under the name uncultured Candidatus Neoehrlichia sp. RNAcentral describes it as "partial 16S ribosomal RNA". It matches the Rfam family "Bacterial small subunit ribosomal RNA", at positions 523 to 765 of the family's 1533-position model. Lineage: Bacteria; Pseudomonadati; Pseudomonadota; Alphaproteobacteria; Rickettsiales; Anaplasmataceae. The record is from RNAcentral.